GACGAACGCUGGCGGCGUGCCUAACACAUGCAAGUCAACUUGACUGAAGGAGCAAUCUGACAGUAGAGUGGCGCAAGGGUGCGUAACGCGUAAGUAACUUGCCCAAGGUAAGGAAUAACGUCGAGAAAUCGGCGCUAAUACCUCAUAAUGCAGCGGAUCCGCAUGGAUAUGUUGUUAAAGGUUUACCGCCUUGGGAUAGGCUUGCGUCUGAUUAGCUAGUUGGUGUGGUAACGGCACACCAAGGCUACGAUCAGUAACUGGUCUGAGAGGAUGAUCAGUCACACUGGAACUGAGACACGGUCCAGACUCCUACGGGAGGCAGCAGUGAGGAAUAUUGGGCAAAUGCUCGAAAGAGUGACCCAGCAACGCCGCGUGGAGGAUGAAGGUAUUCUAUAUCGUAAACUCCUGUGAGAGCAGACGAAAGACAGAUUAUUAAUCUGGAUGACUGUAUGCUCAGAGGGAGCCCCGGCUAACUACG
RNAcentral lists this ribosomal RNA (478 nucleotides) under uncultured bacterium. RNAcentral describes it as "bacterial SSU rRNA". It matches the Rfam family "Bacterial small subunit ribosomal RNA", at positions 28 to 505 of the family's 1533-position model. The record is from RNAcentral.